Non-coding RNA from Vicia faba (fava bean), 189 nucleotides. The record is from the annotation of a GenBank genome assembly. NCBI's taxonomy places the organism in Eukaryota, Viridiplantae, Streptophyta, Magnoliopsida, Fabales, Fabaceae.
AUGGCGUUGCAUUGGUUAGAAGCUGUACUCCCUCUCGGAAUCAUUGCCGGAAUGCUCUGUGUUGCCGGAAACGCUCAGUACUACAUCCACAGAGCUGCUCACGGACGACCAAAGCACAUCGGUAACGACUUGUGGGAUGUCGCCAUGGAACGAAGGGACAAGAAGCUCGUCGAUCAGGCUUCUAAUUAA